Molecule: ribosomal RNA, 432 nt
Filed under: uncultured bacterium
Lineage: Bacteria
Description: partial 16S ribosomal RNA
Rfam family: Bacterial small subunit ribosomal RNA
Source: RNAcentral
AACGAACGCUGGCGGCAUGCCUAACACAUGCCAGUCGAACGAAGCCUUCGGGCUUAGUGGCGCACGGGUGCGUACGCGUGGGAAUCUGCCCCUUGCUUCGGAAUAACAGUUAGAAAUGACUGCUAAUACCGGAUGAAGUCUUCGGACCAAAGAUUUAUCGGCAAGGGAUGAGCCCGCGUAGGAUUAGGUAGUUGGUGGGGUAAAGGCCUACCAAGCCGACGAUCCUUAGCUGGUCUGAGAGGAUGAUCAGCCACACUGGGACUGAGACACGGCCCAGACUCCUACGGGAGGCAGCAGUGGGGAAUAUUGGACAAUGGACGCAAGUCUGAUCCAGCAAUGCCGCGUGAGUGAUGAAGGCCUUAGGGUUGUAAAGCUCUUUUACCAGGGAUGAUAAUGACAGUACCUGGAGAAUAAGCUCCGGCUAACUCCGUG